GUAAAGAUAGUUUAAUAUAAAAUGAAUAUUUGAAAAAUAUUCGAUAGGUCAUCGUAUCUUCUUUACA
Molecule: transfer RNA, 67 nt
Filed under: Ciona intestinalis (vase tunicate)
Lineage: Eukaryota; Metazoa; Chordata; Ascidiacea; Phlebobranchia; Cionidae
Also listed under: 1 other name
Description: tRNA (ENSCING00000025219.1)
Source: RNAcentral